CUCAACCGAUCGGACUCUCCCUCCCCUUUUCAUUUUCGUGCGACAUUUCCAACAGCCGCUGAAGAAGACCGAGCAAACCCCCUGCAGCUCAUACAAGAUUUUCCUCCACCGUUUCGGCCCGCCCCUCCAUGCGUCCUCUUCAGUCAACAACCGGAAGCACUGAAGCCUCUUUGUUGACCGAACAACACCCGUGAAUCUCGAAGACUGAAGUCGUUACGUGUCUCUCGUGGUCCAGGCGAAGUUGCUCCUCCAUCCGUAUCUUCUGUCCAGCCAGCUGAGUCAAAGACCCGAGCAGUCUUCUCCGCAAGCAUCGACACCAGCUGCAUCUCCAUCUGCCGCGCGUCCUUCACCCCUCAGCUCCACGAUCGUCUGCUCCACUAUCCAUCUUCACGCUGCCUCUCACGCCAGCUCACGGUCAACACCAGCAACAAGCGGAGCCUUCGGUUGACUGAGCAUCAUUCCCUUGCUGCCACUUGGCCGCAUCUGCCUCUUCUUCGGUCAACAAGCGGACAUUGAAGACCACCGAGGAAGCCUGCAUCUCGUCCGCAACGCCAGCCCACGCGUCUUCAGUCACGAAGCUUCAGUCCGCGCGUCCACGAGUGUCUUCGGUCAGCAAUUUCCACCGAAGGAAUUCCAGAACCCCAGCGAAUCAGCAGCAUGAUCGAAGCCGUGAGUCCACGGUCUUCAGCCACGUGAGCAGCCGAAAGUCCAUCCCCUGUCCGCGUGAUUUCUCUUCUUCACUCGUGGAGCAGCCGGCCCAAGCUUGCAGUCUUCGGACCAUCUCCUUCGCAGUAAAUUGGGCCCAGCAAUCCACCUCCUCCAGCAGCUCAGCCCAGAUGAAGCCUGCAAGCCCAGCAAGCCCAGUUCAGCUAGCGCAGUUAGUUCAGUCCAGAAAUUCAGCAGGUCCAGCCCAUUCCAGUGCAAGAACAAAUCUCAAUUGGGCUGAGAUUUGUUGGGCCUAAGCUUAAGGCCCGGUUCAAGUCCGCCGGUGUUGUCGAAAGCCCGAUUUCGGCCGCCGUCGUGUCGCCGUUGCGGUGAUUCGAUCUCCGCUUUUGUCAAGUGAGUUUUACUCACUAAUGCUUUAUUAGUUUGCUAAUUAUGCUUAAGGUUGGUUAGAUUUAAUUACAUGCACUUAGGUGGUUAGAUUAGGUUAGAACAAUUAAUUUAGUGACUUAAUGAUGCAUGUUAGGUGGUUAGACCUAGCUAUUAGCAAGUAGAAAUGUUUGGUUGUUUAUUGAAUGCAUCUCGGGAUUUUUCCCGACCCGUUUCGGGCUCCAAUAAGGCAAUAUGGGCAUAAAUUGGAUUUUUAAUGUUUAUUUAUUUAUUUUCGAAAUUUAUUUAUUUAAUUAAUUAUUUUUCCGGAAAUUCAACCGGGAUGGCCGGUGACCAGAAUUUCGUGCUGAUUGUCGUGGUGCAGCCCAUUUAUUUAUUUGAGCUCUACGUUGUGUGGAAUUGAAUUUAUUGUGGAAUUUUAGGAAUUGUCCUAAAUUGUUUGUUAUUGAAUAUUUGAUUGGUUGUUGGCCGAAUAUGGGUAUAUAGCGCCAGUUCGUUGAUGGGCUAUAUAGUAGAGAGAAUGGUGAGAGCUAACUGAGAACAUUAUUGGUUGAGACCAAUCAGGUACGAUAUUAUUGGACAUACGUGGUUCGGUGAUUGGAAGUAUCACUGGCGAAAACGGCGCCUUAAAGAACGCACGUAAAUGACUUAUAGACAAACGUGGUUCGGUGGUUAUGGGAAUAUCACUGGUGAAAACGGCGCCUUAAAGAACUCACGAUGUUGUCUAUAGCCGAUGUCACCUUGGCGAAAACGGCGCCCUAGAAAGGACACGUGGUUCGGUGAUCAAGGUUAUCAUUGGUGAAAACGGCGCCUUAAAGAACGCACGGUGUCGGUGAUCGGUAUGUCAUUAGCGAAAACGACGCCCGGGAAACACAUGUGAUUUGGUGAAUGAGUACACCACUGGGAAAUCGUGGUAUGAGUGGGAAUGACCUAGAAAGGGUCUGGCUGACAUGUAAUCGACUUAGUCGAUUGACCAGUGCUUGAUUGAAUGUCGUGAAUUGUUUGAAUAUCUGUGUUUAACCUUGAAUUGCAGGUUGGAACUGAGGCUAAGGUAAGUCCUCUGACUCGUGUUGUGCUUAGGCAACCGUAUGGUGUAUUAGUUUACUAAUCGAGUCGUAGGGGGUAGGACUCGCUGAGACGUGGUCUCAUUGGUUAUUGAAUAAUCAUUUCAGGACCCUGAGGAGAAGCUAAGGAAGAGAAACCUGAAGGGGAGAAAGACUUUUGAAGAAGAAGAAGAUCCAGAGAGGGAUCUUGAAUAUAACCCAGAUGUGGAUUGAGAUCCCAUCCCUUUUGUGAACCCUGUCUUAGUGUAGAUA
This 2369-nucleotide long non-coding RNA is filed under the name Eucalyptus grandis. RNAcentral describes it as "long non-coding RNA (EGRA_LNC005309)". Lineage: Eukaryota; Viridiplantae; Streptophyta; Magnoliopsida; Myrtales; Myrtaceae. The record is from RNAcentral.